This 259-nucleotide ribosomal RNA is filed under the name uncultured archaeon. RNAcentral describes it as "partial 16S ribosomal RNA". It matches the Rfam family "Archaeal small subunit ribosomal RNA", at positions 725 to 982 of the family's 1478-position model. The record is from RNAcentral.
UACAUUAGAUACCCGCGUAGUCCAGGGUGUAAACGCUGCGGGCUUGGUGUUGGGGGGUCCUUUGAGGGCGCCCAGUGCCGGAGAGAAGUUGUUAAGCCUGCUGCUUGGGGAGUACGUCCGCAAGGAUGAAACUUAAAGGAAUUGGCGGGGGAGCACCGCAACGGGAGGAGCGUGCGGUUCAAUUGGAUUCAACGCCGGACAACUCACCAGGAGCGACGGUUACAUGAAGGCCAGGCUGAUGACCUUGCCUGAUUUUCCG